CUAAUUUUGAACUUAGUCCCAAAGCAUUCCAGAUAGUUAAUCAGAGCUAGCUCCUUGUCCCAAUCGUCGGGUAGAAUUUGUGAAUUUCCAUCUAAGUUUCUCUCUAAUCUCCUCAGCUGCUAAGAUAGCCAUGCAACUUUCAGCAGCAACAGUUUCACACCAAACCAAAGCUCUCCGGGCAACACAUCUCUGAUGCAGUACAAAUCGUAAGCAGAACGAACUUGCCAUAACUAAAAAUACAGCGGUUAUCGCACAAAGGUCACAAACAUUAUGUUAUAUGUAGUGUACGAGUAGCGUCACAUCACAUCACAAUUAUAAGUAGCAUUCAGUAUUUCAGGUCGGCAGUCAUUGGUACAUCCAGCAGUCUUCUAUGGUUCGUUGGAUUCCAUAUACAGUAGUACGUACUCCCUCCGUUCGGAAUUACUUGUCGUAGAAAUGGAUGUAUCUAAACAUAUUUUAGUUCUAGAUACAUCCAUAUCCGAGACAAGUAAUUCCGAACGGAGGGAGUAGCUUCUUAAGACAACGGGACUCAAAUGCGGCCAUACCUGGAAGAAUGCAUUGCAAAUAAACUGUGAUUAGUGGAAAUUGAAAAAGGAAACAAGAUCAGGUAGAUUUGAUGAGGAAUCAGUCCUCCAUACUAACCCACAGAGAACAAAACCAAAUUAGCACACAUGAUUCAGUAUUCAUUUGUGAAUCUCAUUCCAGACAAGGCUCUAAAACAUAAAUGAUAAAUGCCAGCCAUGCUUUUAAUUGUGCGGCCUACUCGCAUACUAGGUACUUAUUUCGCAAUUUCAAACAAAAAGAAUCAAAGAAAGCAUAGUGUACUAAGCCCUCAUUGCACAAAGUCAAGCACAUGCAUAUCAUGCUGGCAAGUUAAAAGAAUAUAAUCUGCAACGGAAAGCCAUUAAGUUAUAAACGUUCAACAAACUAAGGACCACAGUAAUCCUAACAUGACAUAAUUCUCAAAUCAAGCUUUACUUCAUAAGGCAAUCAUAUUUCCAAAGACACCUAGGAAUGAACGUUAUAUAGUACUAUAACCAGACAUAGAAAUAACAAAAACCAAGUUAAGAAUUUCGGCCGAAAAGCUGAAACUUUCUUUACUAUGGUCCACUGAAGAAAUAAAAGCACACGGCCC
RNAcentral lists this long non-coding RNA (1135 nucleotides) under Triticum aestivum (bread wheat). RNAcentral describes it as "long non-coding RNA (TAES_LNC005505)". The stretch from base 399 to 513 matches the Rfam family "MIR1120/MIR1122 microRNA precursor family". The record is from RNAcentral. Lineage: Eukaryota; Viridiplantae; Streptophyta; Magnoliopsida; Poales; Poaceae.